UUCCUAGUAGCUCAGACCGUAAAGAAUCUGCCUGCAAUGCAGGAGACCCAGGUUCGAUCCCUGGGUCGGGAA
Molecule: transfer RNA, 72 nt
Filed under: Bos taurus (domestic cattle)
Lineage: Eukaryota; Metazoa; Chordata; Mammalia; Artiodactyla; Bovidae
Also listed under: 2 other names
Rfam family: tRNA
About the family: Transfer RNA (tRNA) molecules are approximately 80 nucleotides in length. Their secondary structure includes four short double-helical elements and three loops (D, anti-codon, and T loops).
Source: Rfam by way of RNAcentral